GAUGAACGCUGGCGGCGUGCCUAAUACAUGCAAGUCGAGCGAACGGACGAGAAGCUUGCUUCUCUGAUGUUAGCGGCGGACGGGUGAGUAACACGUGGAUAACCUACCUAUAAGACUGGGAUAACUUCGGGAAACCGGAGCUAAUACCGGAUAAUAUUUUGAACCGCAUGGUUCAAAAGUGAAAGACGGUCUUGCUGUCACUUAUAGAUGGAUCCGCGCUGCAUUAGCUAGUUGGUAAGGUAACGGCUUACCAAGGCAACGAUGCAUAGCCGACCUGAGAGGGUAAUCGGCCACACUGGAACUGAGACACGGUCCAGACUCCUACGGGAGGCAGCAGUAGGGAAUCUUCCGCAAUGGGCGAAAGCCUGACGGAACAACGCCGCGUGAGUGAUGAAGGUCUUCGGAUCGUAAAACUCUGUUAUUAGGGAAGAACAUAUGUGUAAGUAACUGUGCACAUCUUGACGGUACCUAAUCAGAAAGCCACGGCUAACUACGUG
This 497-nucleotide ribosomal RNA is filed under the name uncultured bacterium. RNAcentral describes it as "partial 16S ribosomal RNA". It matches the Rfam family "Bacterial small subunit ribosomal RNA", at positions 28 to 507 of the family's 1533-position model. The record is from RNAcentral.